AGCUUUAUAGUCAAUAUAUGAUAUUAGGUUGCAAACUUAAAGUAGUAUUUAUACUAAAGCUU
RNAcentral lists this transfer RNA (62 nucleotides) under Tuxedo bicinctus. RNAcentral describes it as "tRNA-Cys". The record is from RNAcentral. Lineage: Eukaryota; Metazoa; Arthropoda; Insecta; Hemiptera; Miridae.